UGGGGAAUAUUGGACAAUGGGCGAAAGCCUGUUCCAGCAAUGCCGCGUGAGUGAUGAAUGCCUUCGGGUUGUAAAGCUCUUUUACCCGGGAUGAUAAUGACAGUACCGGGAGAAUAAGCCCCGGCUAACUCCGUGCCAGCAGCCGCGGUAAUACGGAGGGGGCUAGCGUUGUUCGGAAUUACUGGGCGUAAAGCGCACGUAGGCGGCUUUGUAAGUUAGGGGUGAAAGCCCGGAGCUCAACGCCGGAAUUGCCCUUAAGACUGCAUCGCUAGAACGUGGGAGAGGUGAGUGGAAUUCCGAGUGUAGAGGUGAAAUUCGUAGAUAUUCGGAAGAACACCAGUGGCGAAGGCGACUCACUGGACGACUGUUGACGCUGAGGUGCGAAAGCGUGGGGAGCAAACAGG
RNAcentral lists this ribosomal RNA (404 nucleotides) under Acidobacteriota bacterium. Its description in RNAcentral is "Acidobacteria bacterium partial 16S ribosomal RNA". It matches the Rfam family "Bacterial small subunit ribosomal RNA", at positions 355 to 776 of the family's 1533-position model. The record is from RNAcentral. Lineage: Bacteria; Pseudomonadati; Acidobacteriota.